RNAcentral lists this ribosomal RNA (373 nucleotides) under uncultured organism. RNAcentral's name for it is "partial 16S ribosomal RNA". It matches the Rfam family "Bacterial small subunit ribosomal RNA", at positions 527 to 896 of the family's 1533-position model. The record is from RNAcentral.
GUAGGUGGCAAGCGUUGUCCGGAAUUAUUGGGCGUAAAGCGCGCGCAGGCGGUUCUUUAAGUCUGAUGUGAAAGCCCACGGCUCAACCGUGGAGGGUCAUUGGAAACUGGAGAACUUGAGUACAGAAGAGGAAGGCGGAAUUCCACGUGUAGCGGUGAAAUGCGUAGAGAUGUGGAGGAACACCAGUGGCGAAGGCGGCUUUUCUGGUCUGUAACUGACGCUGAGGCGCGAAAGCGUGGGGAGCAAACAGGGAUUAGAUACCCUGGUAGUCCACGCCGUAAACGAUGAGUGCUAAGUGUUAGGGGGUUUCCGCCCCCUUAGUGCUGCAGCUAACGCAUUAAGCACUCCGCCUGGGGAUACGGCCGCAAGGCUG